RNAcentral lists this transfer RNA (56 nucleotides) under Phytophthora psychrophila. Its description in RNAcentral is "partial tRNA-Tyr". The record is from RNAcentral. Lineage: Eukaryota; Oomycota; Peronosporomycetes; Peronosporales; Peronosporaceae.
GCAGACUGUAAAUUUGUUGAAAUAAUUUCUACGUAGGUUCAAAUCCUGCUUUCUCC